UACGAAGGGGGCUAGCGUUGUUCGGAAUCACUGGGCGUAAAGCGCUCGUAGGCGGAUCUUUAAGUCAGGGGUGAAAUCCCGAGGCUCAACCUCGGAACUGCCUUUGAUACUGGGGAUCUCGAGUCCGGGAGAGGUGAGUGGAACUGCGAGUGUAGAGGUGAAAUUCGUAGAUAUUCGCAAGAACACCGGUGGCGAAGGCGGCUCACUGGCUCGUAACUGACGCUCAGGCGCGACAGCGUGGGGAUCAAACAGG
Molecule: ribosomal RNA, 253 nt
Filed under: uncultured bacterium
Lineage: Bacteria
Description: partial 16S ribosomal RNA
Rfam family: Bacterial small subunit ribosomal RNA
Source: RNAcentral